UACAAGCAGGUAAAUCAGCCAUCAAUGG
This 28-nucleotide small RNA is filed under the name Bombyx mori (domestic silkworm). RNAcentral's name for it is "ovarian small RNA-20094". Lineage: Eukaryota; Metazoa; Arthropoda; Insecta; Lepidoptera; Bombycidae. The record is from RNAcentral.